RNAcentral lists this long non-coding RNA (360 nucleotides) under Nicotiana tabacum (common tobacco). Its description in RNAcentral is "long non-coding RNA (NTAB_LNC000798)". The record is from RNAcentral. Lineage: Eukaryota; Viridiplantae; Streptophyta; Magnoliopsida; Solanales; Solanaceae.
CAUUGUUGUUAGCUUCUUGUUCUCCUCUUUCAUCCUAAUCAACUCUUCAUCCAUCAUCUCAUGCUGCAUAUAUCAAAUUCGUUUAUAAUAAUAAUAAUAAAAAUAAUAAUUGUUCUGACGAAAGAAUAGAUCUACCAACCGGAAUACUAUUGAUAUUUUGCGGUGGAGGAUUUGUGUUAAGGUCAAUAGCAAAAGACUUGUCCCUAGAACUUGUAUCCAUUGAAUCCAAGUUUUCUUUCUUCUAUAUCUUCGUUGAUUGUUUUUUUGGAUGAAAGGAAUGAAAAGAUUAAUUGGGUAAGAUGUGCUUUUUAUAAGGGAAGAAAGUGGAAGUAGUUAAAUUGAAUUCAUGUUUUGAAACGG